GCUCCCGUAGCUCAGGGGAUAGAGCAUCGGUUUCCUAAAUCGCAGGUCGGAGGUUCGAAUCCUCCCGGGGGCACCA
Molecule: transfer RNA, 76 nt
Filed under: Ilumatobacteraceae bacterium
Lineage: Bacteria; Bacillati; Actinomycetota; Acidimicrobiia; Acidimicrobiales; Ilumatobacteraceae
Description: tRNA-Arg
Rfam family: tRNA
About the family: Transfer RNA (tRNA) molecules are approximately 80 nucleotides in length. Their secondary structure includes four short double-helical elements and three loops (D, anti-codon, and T loops).
Source: RNAcentral